RNAcentral lists this small nuclear RNA (85 nucleotides) under Pteropus vampyrus (large flying fox). Its description in RNAcentral is "U4 spliceosomal RNA (ENSPVAG00000030035.1)". It matches the Rfam family "U4 spliceosomal RNA", at positions 1 to 82 of the family's 138-position model. Rfam says of the family: U4 small nuclear RNA (U4 snRNA) is a component of the major U2-dependent spliceosome. The structure of U4 snRNA from yeast and human has been reported. The record is from RNAcentral. Lineage: Eukaryota; Metazoa; Chordata; Mammalia; Chiroptera; Pteropodidae.
AGCUUUGCGCAGUGGCAGUAUGGUAGCCAAUGAGGUUUAUCCGAGGCAUGAUUAUUGCUAAUUGAAAACUUAAAAGCUUAAUGCA